RNAcentral lists this ribosomal RNA (496 nucleotides) under uncultured bacterium. RNAcentral describes it as "partial 16S ribosomal RNA". It matches the Rfam family "Bacterial small subunit ribosomal RNA", at positions 29 to 507 of the family's 1533-position model. The record is from RNAcentral.
AUGCACGCUGGCGGCGUGCCUAAUCCCUGCAAGUCGCGCGCACAGACGAGGAGCUUGCUCCUCUGACGUUAGCGGCGGACGGGUGAGUAACACGUGGAUAACCUACCUAUAAGACUGGGAUAACUUCGGGAAACCGGAGCUAAUACCGGAUAAUAUAUUGAACCGCAUGGUUCAAUAGUGAAAGACGGUUUUGCUGUCACUUAUAGAUGGAUCCGCGCCGCAUUAGCUAGUUGGUAAGGUAACGGCUUACCAAGGCAACGAUGCGUAGCCGACCUGAGAGGGUGAUCGGCCACACUGGAACUGAGACACGGUCCAGACUCCUACGGGAGGCAGCAGUAGGGAAUCUUCCGCAAUGGGCGAAAGCCUGACGGAGCAACGCCGCGUGAGUGAUGAAGGUCUUCGGAUCGUAAAACUCUGUUAUUAGGGAAGAACAAAUGUGUAAGUAACUAUGCACGUCUUGACGGUACCUAAUCAGAAAGCCACGGCUAACUACGUG